UAUGAACCAGCGGUGGUUUCCUUCAAAGC
This 29-nucleotide non-coding RNA is filed under the name Bombyx mori (domestic silkworm). The record is from RNAcentral. Lineage: Eukaryota; Metazoa; Arthropoda; Insecta; Lepidoptera; Bombycidae.